GUUUGAUCCUGGCUCAGGACGAACGCUGGCGGCGUGCCUAAUACAUGCAAGUCGAACGCUUCCUACCGGUGCUUGCACCGGGAAAGAAGAGUGGCGGACGGGUGAGUAACACGUGGGUAACCUACCUACAAGCGGGGGAUAACAUUCGGAAACGGAUGCUAAUACCGCAUAGAUCUCUUUGUCUCCUGGCAGAAAGAAGAAAGACGGUUUCGGCUGUCACUUGUAGAUGGACCCGCGGCGCAUUAGUUAGUUGGUGAGGUAAUGGCUCACCAAGACGAUGAUGCGUAGCCGACCUGAGAGGGUGAUCGGCCACACUGGGACUGAGACAC
This 329-nucleotide ribosomal RNA is filed under the name uncultured Desemzia sp. Its description in RNAcentral is "bacterial SSU rRNA". It matches the Rfam family "Bacterial small subunit ribosomal RNA", at positions 11 to 327 of the family's 1533-position model. Lineage: Bacteria; Bacillati; Bacillota; Bacilli; Lactobacillales; Carnobacteriaceae. The record is from RNAcentral.